GCUCGACUGGUGUAAGUUGACAUAGCGGUCAAACACGUCGUGUUCCUUGAAAGGGGCACGAGGUCUCGGUUCGAAUCCGAGGUCGAGCG
Triangularia setosa is the source of this 89-nucleotide non-coding RNA. The record is from the annotation of a GenBank genome assembly. Lineage: Eukaryota; Fungi; Ascomycota; Sordariomycetes; Sordariales; Podosporaceae.